Molecule: ribosomal RNA, 427 nt
Filed under: Bacillus sp. T1AG(2010)
Lineage: Bacteria; Bacillati; Bacillota; Bacilli; Caryophanales; Bacillaceae
Description: bacterial SSU rRNA
Rfam family: Bacterial small subunit ribosomal RNA
Source: RNAcentral
GAAGAAGGGAGCUUGCUCCCGGAUGUUAGCGGCGGACGGGUGAGUAACACGUGGGUAACCUGCCUGUAAGACUGGGAUAACUCCGGGAAACGGGAGCUAAUACCGGAUAGUUCCUUGAACCGCAUGGUUCAAGGCAUGAAAGACGGUUUCGGCUGUCACUUACAGAUGGACCCGCGGCGCAUUAGCUAGUUGGUGGGGUAAUGGCUCACCAAGGCGACGAUGCGUAGCCGACCUGAGAGGGUGAUCGGCAACACUGGGACUGAGACACGGCCCAGAGUCCUACGGGAGGCAGCAGUAGGGAAUCUUCCGCAAUGGACGAAAGUCUGACGGAGCAACGCCGCGUGAGUGAUGAAGGUUUUCGGAUCGUAAAGCUCUGUUGUUAGGGAAGAACAAGUGCGAGAGUAACUGCUCGCACCUUGACGGUACC